This is a long non-coding RNA of Suncus etruscus (white-toothed pygmy shrew), 1379 nucleotides long. RefSeq lists it as uncharacterized. The transcript is spliced from 4 exons. The record is from RefSeq and is a predicted model, not a curated record. Lineage: Eukaryota; Metazoa; Chordata; Mammalia; Eulipotyphla; Soricidae.
CUCACCAGCUGGCUAAUAUCAUAAUUAACAAAGUUGCUUCUAUGUCUGCAAAGUUUAAUGGAGAAAUUUGCCAGUACUAUGAUGAUAUUGUCACAAAGAUUACAAGAGGACACGCAGCUGACUUUUGCUCAAGGUGGAAUGGCAAACCUGUGUAGACAAGAUGAGAAAUCUCGAACUUACUCACCCCAAGGAGACUAAUAAUGAAGGGCUGGGGAAGGAGGCCAGUGCUACCAGGGUUAUCUCAAAGCCUCAGAUGCUGGAUAAGUCGGAGGAGGCAGAAUCGCUUUGGGAUGACAUUCAGAAAGGCUGGCGGGAUUAUUUGGAAGAGAAAAGCCUGCCUGUUCUUUUCCAAGGUGUAUUCCCUCAGUUCUGUCCACUGAUGAAUUCUUAGCAUCUUGCCUUAGACAAAGGCUGUGCUUGGAACCCCACCACCCCUAAAACCAUGCUUUGAAGGAUCUGCCAUGCUCACUUUUAAUCACGGAAAGAAAUUACCCACAUGGAGUCAGCAGAAAAUGAGAAAGUGGAACUCGUGCUGAGAAUAAUUCCAGCAAGUGCCAAGGGUCUAGUUGAGGAAUGACUUCAUGAGGAGAAUUAUUCAUAGUUCACCAGUCAGGUAGGCAGCACUCGGUCCUCCUGUGUCUUCUUUCUCCCUGUGGUCUUUCUUCUGAAUCAAAGAAGAAAGAGUCAAAUCAGACCUGACUUCUUGGAAAUGUGGUCCAGAUUGCUCUACUCCCAAGCUCCAAACAGGUAUUCAUUGGGGUAGCAAGACAAGUACCUCCUCAGAUUCAAGAAUGCACUGAGAGUUGUCUUUCACCUAAAAGUGUAGUGCAGUAGAGAAACACUUGGUGGUUAAGAAAGGAUGACAUUAGAAUGAAGUGGGUUCCAGUUUCUCUACCACUUUUCUGUUACCUGGACAAGUUAUUAACAUGCUGUGAUCCUAAGAAAAGGAAAAAAAUACCUUGUAAAAAUAUUUUCUCAGAAAAAAAAUGGAGUAAUGUAUAUAUGCCUAUAAAGCUUGUUUAUAAGUGUAAUGAACUAUUAGUUUCUCUCCCUUUCUCUCUUCCCUCUCUGUUCCUUUUUAUCCUCUCUCAUCCCUUCCUCUCUCCUCUCAAGGUUAGUCUAAAAACAGCACCUUUGAGAAAGAAAAGAGUUCUUCAAGGACGUCUAGUUGCACCUCCUUCUCAUAUGUGGCUACAAAGCCUAGGGUGGAUCAAUGGCUUAUCUUUAUUUAACUGUUUAAAUAUUGAUAAUUAAGCUGUAUUCAGUUUUUACUGUUUUGUGUACACUUGUUUCUAUUUUCUUGUUUUUAUAUUGACUGUUGACUUCUGCUCAUUUUGAACUGAUUUUCUGUUAAUUUUUAAGAAAAUUCAAUAAAAAAU